CCUACGGGAGGCAGCAGUGAGGAAUAUUGGUCAAUGGGCGCGAGCCUGAACCAGCCAAGUAGCGUGAAGGAUGACUGCCCUACGGGUUGUAAACUUCUUUUAUAAAGGAAUAAAGUGAGGCACGUGUGCAUUUUUGUAUGUACUUUAUGAAUAAGGAUCGGCUAACUCAGUGCCAGAAGCCGUGGUAGUACGUAGGAUCCGAACGUUUACCGGAUUUAGUGGGUUUAAAGGGAGCGUAGAUUGGUUUUUAAGUCAGUUGUGAAAGUUUUCGGGUCAACCGUAAAAUUGCAAUUGAUACUGGCAGCCUUGAGUACAGGUGAGGUAGGCGGAAUUCGUGGUGUAGCGGU
RNAcentral lists this ribosomal RNA (347 nucleotides) under uncultured bacterium. RNAcentral's name for it is "partial 16S ribosomal RNA". It matches the Rfam family "Bacterial small subunit ribosomal RNA", at positions 338 to 682 of the family's 1533-position model. The record is from RNAcentral.